GGGGAUAUAGUUCAGUCAGUAGAGUGCCUGCCUCACAUGCACAAGGCCCUGGGUUCAAUCCCCGGUAUAGCUU
RNAcentral lists this transfer RNA (73 nucleotides) under Ictidomys tridecemlineatus (thirteen-lined ground squirrel). Its description in RNAcentral is "Spermophilus tridecemlineatus (thirteen-lined ground squirrel) tRNA". It matches the Rfam family "tRNA". Rfam says of the family: Transfer RNA (tRNA) molecules are approximately 80 nucleotides in length. Their secondary structure includes four short double-helical elements and three loops (D, anti-codon, and T loops). The record is from Rfam by way of RNAcentral. Lineage: Eukaryota; Metazoa; Chordata; Mammalia; Rodentia; Sciuridae.